CCACAGGUGUCACAUGCCAUUCUUCUGAUUUUCAUGAAUAUCCUCUAAAAGGCAGCUAAGCACUCGCUGUCUUCUUCCUUUUGCCUCAUCAAGCACGGGGGACGCUGGAAGGAAGAGGCUCCAGGGACCUACCUGACUUCCUAUUCAUGCUGAUCCCACUGAGACCCUUAUCAACCCUGACCUGUUCCCCAUGUGCCUCUUGGAUCUGCCUUAUGUUCCAGAUCCAGCAGAUAAGCCAGUACUUAAUGCCAAUAAUUGCUCCAACUGGGGUGGAAAAUGGAUAUUUAUACUUCAAAUUUGUGGAUAUCAGUUUUCCAGAAGGGGAAAACAGGAUUGGCUCCUACUUCAGAAAAUGAUCUAGGGGUGAAGAGGUCCUUACUGGCCUUUUCCCCACUGAGUCCCAGCUGGUCUCCUGACAGGGGAUUUUGGGGACCGAUUCACCAAUGUGUGACAGUAUCCAUGCAUAAAGAUGUGAACUGUCUUCUCCCCAAACUUUUAAUCUAUGUAAAUGCAACGCUACAUUCCAAUGUAUUUCUAAGACAGUUUUGCUCUAUGCCAAUCAGCAGAUGAGCCGGGGCUCAUUUUUUGUGGGGUCUGGCUCUUACCUGUUUCCUCUGAAAUCCUAUAAGAUUUUAUUUUUUCUUCUCUUGGACAUAUCACGUAUUUCCUUGAUUUCUACUUAUCGCAGUAACUGUCUUUUCAUUCACAUUAAGGUAACUUUAUAUUGUGGAGUCAGACAGUUCUCUGUCUGCUACUUACCAACUGUCAGAUCUUGUUUGAGCAAACGAAUUAUAUUCUUUGAGCCUCAGUUUCUUUAUCUAUCAAACGGGGAUAAUUAUUUCCAAGCUCAAAAUGCUGUUGUAAGUAUGAAUUAGAAUAAUGAAUAUAAAAUAUGGUACAUGCUAGUCAUUCAUAAGUUUUUCCUUAAAAGUAGACUGUUUCGUAUUUAUAUUUAUAUCUCCCACAGUGCCUCAAUCAUAGUAGAUGCUCAAUAAAU
Molecule: long non-coding RNA, 997 nt
Filed under: Homo sapiens (human)
Lineage: Eukaryota; Metazoa; Chordata; Mammalia; Primates; Hominidae
Description: non-protein coding lnc-MBOAT1-2:18
Source: RNAcentral